RNAcentral lists this ribosomal RNA (253 nucleotides) under uncultured bacterium. RNAcentral's name for it is "partial 16S ribosomal RNA". It matches the Rfam family "Bacterial small subunit ribosomal RNA", at positions 524 to 776 of the family's 1533-position model. The record is from RNAcentral.
UACGAAGGGUGCAAGCGUUACUCGGAAUCACUGGGCGUAAAGGGUGCGUAGGCGGGUCUUUAAGUCAGGGGUGAAAUCCUGGAGCUCAACUCCAGAACUGCCUUUGAUACUGAAGAUCUUGAGUUCGGGAGAGGUGAGUGGAACUGCGAGUGUAGAGGUGAAAUUCGUAGAUAUUCGCAAGAACACCAGUGGCGAAGGCGGCUCACUGGCCCGAUACUGACGCUGAGGCACGAAAGCGUGGGGAGCAAACAGG